This 112-nucleotide ribosomal RNA is filed under the name Nannospalax galili (Upper Galilee mountains blind mole rat). The record is from RNAcentral. Lineage: Eukaryota; Metazoa; Chordata; Mammalia; Rodentia; Spalacidae.
AUCUAUGACCACACCACCCUGAAUGCUCCCAAUCUUGUCUGAUUUUGGAAAUGAAGCAGAGUCAGGCCUAGUUAGUACAUGGAUGGAUAAUAAACAAGAGAAGUCAGAGAAU